GACGAACGCUGGCGGCGUGCCUAACACAUGCAAGUCGAACGAGGUCCAUGAGAGCUUGCUCUCAGAAGACCUAGUGGCGAACGGGUGAGUAACACGUGAGAAACCUGCCUCGGAGUGGGGAAUAACUCGGGGAAACUCGAGCUAAUACCGCAUAUCUUCACAUGAUCGCAUGGUCGAGUGAAGAAAGAAUUUCGCUCUGAGAGGGUCUCGCGGCCUAUCAGCUUGUUGGUGGGGUAACGGCCCACCAAGGCAACGACGGGUAGCUGGUUUGAGAGAACGAUCAGCCACACUGGGACUGAGACACGGCCCAGACUCCUACGGGAGGCAGCAGUGGGGAAUCUUGCGCAAUGGGCGAAAGCCUGACGCAGCAACGCCGCGUGCGGGAUGACGGCCUUCGUGGUUGUAAACCGCUUUCAGCAGGGACGAAAAUGACGGUACCUGCAGAGAAGCCCCGGCUAACUACGUGCCAGCAGCCG
Molecule: ribosomal RNA, 476 nt
Filed under: uncultured bacterium
Lineage: Bacteria
Description: bacterial SSU rRNA
Rfam family: Bacterial small subunit ribosomal RNA
Source: RNAcentral